GAUGAACGCUGGCGGCGUGCUUAACACAUGCAAGUCGAACGGAAAGGCCCAAGCUUGCUUGGGUACUCGAGUGGCGAACGGGUGAGUAACACGUGGGGGAUCUGCCCUGCACUUCGGGAUAAGCCUGGGAAACUGGGUCUAAUACCGGAUAGGACCACUUCUUGCAUGUUGUGGUGGAAAGUUUUUUCGGUGUGGGAUGAGCUCGCGGCGUAUCAGCUUGUUGGUGGGGUAAUGGCCUACCAAGGCGUCGACGGGUAGCCGGCCUGCGAGGGUGUACGGACAGACUGGAACUGUGCUGCGGGCCAGACUCGUACGGGAGGCAGCAGGGGCGAAUAUUGCACAAUGGGAGCAAGCGUGAGGCAGCGAGGCCGCGUGGGGGAUGAAGGCUGUCGGGUUGUAAAAUCCUUUCGGUAGGGAAGAAGCGUUUUUGUGACGGUACCUGGAGAAGAAGCACCGGCUAACUACGUG
RNAcentral lists this ribosomal RNA (468 nucleotides) under uncultured bacterium. RNAcentral describes it as "partial 16S ribosomal RNA". It matches the Rfam family "Bacterial small subunit ribosomal RNA", at positions 28 to 507 of the family's 1533-position model. The record is from RNAcentral.